This 263-nucleotide ribosomal RNA is filed under the name uncultured bacterium. RNAcentral's name for it is "partial 16S ribosomal RNA". It matches the Rfam family "Bacterial small subunit ribosomal RNA", at positions 29 to 289 of the family's 1533-position model. The record is from RNAcentral.
AUUAACGCUAGCGGCAGGCAUAAUACAUGCAAGUUGAACGGCAGCACAGGUAGCAAUACUGGGUGGCGAGUGGCGCACGGGUGCGUAACACGUAUGCAACCUACCCUAUACAGGCGAAUAACCUUUAGAAAUGAGGGCUAAUACGCCGUGGUAUUAUCUUGGGGCAUCUUGAGAUAAUUAAAGAUUUAUCGGUAUAGGAUGGGCAUGCGUCCCAUUAGUUAGUUGGUAGGGCAACGGCCUACCAAGGCUAUGAUGGGUAGGGG